CGAACGCUGGCGGCAUGCUUACCACAUGCAAGUCGCGCGGGUGGUUUCGGCCAUCAGCGGCGGACGGGUGAGUAUCGCGUAGGAAUGUAUCCCGAGGUGGGGGACAACCCUGGGAAACUGGGGCUAAUACCGCAUGGGGCCUGUGGGUCAAAGCCUUAGGGCGCCUUGGGAGCAGCCUGCGUCCGAUUAGGUAGUUGGUGGGGUAAAGGCCUACCAAGCCUGCGAUCGGUAGCUGGUCUGAGAGGACGAUCAGCCACACUGGGACUGAGACACGGCACAGACUCCUACGGGAGGCAGCAGUGGGGAAUAUUGGACAAUGGGCGCAAGCCUGAUCCAGCAAUGCCGCGUGGGUGAAGAAGGUCUUCGGAUUGUAAAGCCCUUUCGGCGGGGACGAUGAUGACGGUACCCGCAGAAGAAGCCCCGGCUAACUUCGUG
Molecule: ribosomal RNA, 435 nt
Filed under: uncultured bacterium
Lineage: Bacteria
Description: partial 16S ribosomal RNA
Rfam family: Bacterial small subunit ribosomal RNA
Source: RNAcentral